RNAcentral lists this ribosomal RNA (450 nucleotides) under uncultured bacterium. Its description in RNAcentral is "partial 16S ribosomal RNA". It matches the Rfam family "Bacterial small subunit ribosomal RNA", at positions 354 to 796 of the family's 1533-position model. The record is from RNAcentral.
GUGGGGAAUAUUGGACAAUGGGCGAAAGCCUGAUCCAGCCAUGCCGCGUGUGUGAAGAAGGUCUUCGGAUUGUAAAGCACUUUAAGUUGGGAGGAAGGGUAGUAACCUAAUACGUUGCUAUUUUGACGUUACCGACAGAAUAAGCACCGGCUAACUUCGUGCCAGCAGCCGCGGUAAUACGAAGGGUGCAAGCGUUAAUCGGAAUUACUGGGCGUAAAGCGCGCGUAGGUGGUUCAGUAAGUUGGAAGUGAAAUCCCCGGGCUCAACCUGGGAACUGCUUUCAAAACUGCUGAGCUAGAGUACGGUAGAGGGUGGUGGAAUUUCCUGUGUAGCGGUGAAAUGCGUAGAUAUAGGAAGGAACACCAGUGGCGAAGGCGACCACCUGGACUGAUACUGACACUGAGGUGCGAAAGCGUGGGGAGCAAACAGGAUUAGAAACCCGUGUAGUCC